Molecule: long non-coding RNA, 1855 nt
Filed under: Homo sapiens (human)
Lineage: Eukaryota; Metazoa; Chordata; Mammalia; Primates; Hominidae
Description: novel transcript
Source: RNAcentral
AAUCUUGCUUCCUUCUUUUCAUUUACUAAAUAGGCUUUUGAGCCUCACAAGACUUUGAGAUUUUAUGGAUAUGAAACCUGCUAUCAUUUAGCAUCCUGCCUCUGGGAAUAGACAUGGAUUCUCACUAUGACACCCAGGCUGGAGUGCAGUGGCACAAUCAUAGCUGACUACAGCCUCGAAUUUCUGGGCUCAAGCAAGGCUUUCAUCUCAACCUCCCCAGGAGCUGGGAUUACAGAUGGUGUCAGAAGCGGGGUUCAAAGUAGAGCUUUAAUGACCCCCAGAAGUGCUGAGUGAACAAGCAAGGUACCUGCAAGGACCCACUUGUGUCCUUUGAUCUCUCAGAGCAGUGGAUCUGCUUGCUUCCCCUUUGCCUUCUGCCAUGAUUGUAAGUUUCCUGAGGCCUCCUACAUCAUGCCUCCUGUAUAGCCUGCAGAACUUAUUUACACACAGAUGCUCCAUGAUGGGUCACAUCCAAACUUAUCAUAAAGUCAAAAAAUUGUAAGUCAGACUAUCACAAGUCAGAAACCAUCUGUAUGUACAUUCUUGUGUCUAGUCACUUGUGUGGGAAUGAAGGAGGGAGGAGGGAAGAAGGAGGAGAGGUGUAUCUGGUGUAGAUAGUUUAAAUUCCAGAUUUCCCCUCAAGAGGAAAUUUUGGUCUUCAAAUUAUAAUUCUGUGGUUUUCCUGUUGUCUGCUGACAAGUUUUUAACUAAUGUAGAAUCAAGGGAUUUUACGCUACAGAAAGUUUAUUCCUAAGAUGAGUGUCUCGAUCUAAUCUUAUUUCAUAGUUGUUACAUCUGUGUAUGAAAUGUAUCAUUAUUUAUGUAUGUUUUCAACUCAUAUUUAUUCUUAAAUAUAUUUAGCCUUAUCCCAAACAAUAAUAAAUUGAAAUCACAGUUUGGUAUUACAUAUGUAUGUGUGAGAUACACACACACACACACACACACAGAGAUUCCAUUAAACAAUAAAAUUAAUAUAUAGUCAUAAAUAUGUGUUACUUAAGCCAGGGAUCAACAAACUUUUCCUGUAAAGAGCCUGGCAACAAAUGAUUUAGGGUUUUUUUAGACCCAGAGUAGUUUAUGUCACAGCUACUCAACUCUGCUGUUCUAGUACAACAGCCAUAGACAAAUAAAUGGAUGGGCAUGGUUGUGUUCCAGUAAAACUUUAUUUAUAAAAACAGGCUAGAUGUGGCCCAUGGGCUAUAUAUUUUAGUUCCAUGAUCUAGAUAUAUCCCACAUCACCAAUGAUAGGCAUACCAUUCUUUGCGAAAUAAUGCUUUAACAUAAUUUUUGAGUUAUGAUGCUAGUGUAUAUCCAGCCCUUUUGUACUUCUUAGAUAGCAUUCCUGGCCCCAAAAGUGUGGUGGGUUUCUGUCAAGAUCUGCACAACAAUGGAGAGAUUGAAAGAACCUAUGCUGGUAUUCCUGCUUAGAAAAGAAUAAAACACGCUCCUAUGCUGGUAUUCCUGCUUAGAAAAGAAUAAAACACGCUGUGCCGAUUAGUAUUUUAAGUUUUCUAAGUGUUCUCGGUGGUAGGUUGAAAAAAAGUAAUAUGAGUUAGCAGGCUUAAAAAUCUUAAAGUACAAAAAUUUUUAUAACACACUCACAUUUAUUACUUCAGUAAUAAGAUGUGUAUGUCAACUACAUAUCAUAUCUUUACUAUUAAAAUGUAAAUUCAUUGAGGGAGAGGACCUUGAAUAUUUAUUCUUGUUUCCCAUACAUUUCUGCAUGCAAUAAUAUCCUAAUAAUUAUUUACUGAAUGAAGAGUGAUAGAUGAAUAAUGAAUAAAUAAGAAAAUAGAGCAAGUAUAAAAUUAGAGGAAAAGAAAUAGUUAAGUAAAUAGCAUGUUAAUUUAUUUGC